Molecule: ribosomal RNA, 205 nt
Filed under: uncultured bacterium
Lineage: Bacteria
Description: partial 16S ribosomal RNA
Rfam family: Bacterial small subunit ribosomal RNA
Source: RNAcentral
ACUGUGGUCUGNAACCCGACCACACGAAGCUGGAAUCGCUAGUAAUCGCGAAUCAGAAAUGUCGCGGUGAAUACGUUCCCGGGUCUUGUACACACCGCCCGUCACACCAUGGGAGUCAGCAACGCCCGAAGUCAGUGACCUAACCGAAAGGGAGGAGCUGCCGAAGGCGGGGCCGGUAACUGGGGUGAAGUCGUAACAAGGUAAC